UGGUAGUCCACGCUGUAAACGAUGUCGAUUUGGAGUUUGUUGCCUAGAGUGAUGGGCUCCGAAGCUAACGCGAUAAAUCGACCGCUGGGGAGUACGGCCGCAAGGUUAAAACUCAAAUGAAUUGACGGGGGCCCGCACAAGCGGUGGAGCAUGUGGUUUAAUUCGAUGCAACGCGAAGAACCUUACCUGGUCUUGACAUCCAUAGAAUUCUGCAGAGAUGUGGGAGUGCCUUCGGGAACUAUGAGACAGGUGCUGCAUGGCUGUCGUCAGCUCGUGUUGUGAAAUGUUGGGUUAAGUCCCGCAACGAGCGCAACCCUUAUUCUUUGUUGCCAGCGAUUUGGUCGGGAACUCAAAGGAGACUGCCGUUGAUAAAGCGGAGGAAGGUGGGGACGACGUCAAGUCAUCAUGGCCCUUACGACCAGGGCUACACACGUGCUACAAUGGCGUAUACAAAGGGAAGCGAAGGUGCGAGCUGGAGCGGAUCUCAUAAAGUACGUCUAAGUUCGGAUUGGAGUCUGCAACUCGACUCCAUGAAGUCGGAAUCGCUAGUAAUCGUAGAUCAGAAUGCUACGGUGAAUACGUUCCCGGGCCUUGUACACACCGCCCGUCACACCAUGGGAGUGGGUUGCACCAGAAGUAGAUAGCUUAACCGCGAGGGGGGCGUUUACCACGGUGUGAUUCACGACUGGGGUGAAGUCGUAACAAGGUAACCA
Molecule: ribosomal RNA, 713 nt
Filed under: uncultured Enterobacteriaceae bacterium
Lineage: Bacteria; Pseudomonadati; Pseudomonadota; Gammaproteobacteria; Enterobacterales; Enterobacteriaceae
Description: bacterial SSU rRNA
Rfam family: Bacterial small subunit ribosomal RNA
Source: RNAcentral